GGCCCAGACUCCUACGGGAGGCAGCAGUGGGGAAUAUUGCACAAUGGGGGAAACCCUGAUGCAGCCAUGCCGCGUGUGUGAAGAAGGCCUUCGGGUUGUAAAGCACUUUCAGCGAGGAGGAAAGGUUGAUGCCUAAUACGUAUCAACUGUGACGUUACUCGCAGAAGAAGCACCGGCUAACUCCGUGCCAGCAGCCGCGGUAAUACGGAGGGUGCAAGCGUUAAUCGGAAUUACUGGGCGUAAAGCGCACGCAGGCGGUUGGAUAAGU
Molecule: ribosomal RNA, 268 nt
Filed under: Aeromonas hydrophila
Lineage: Bacteria; Pseudomonadati; Pseudomonadota; Gammaproteobacteria; Aeromonadales; Aeromonadaceae
Description: partial 16S ribosomal RNA
Rfam family: Bacterial small subunit ribosomal RNA
Source: RNAcentral